AUACAAUGUAAGUCUACAUUAAUUCAUAUAUUUUUCUUGCGAUUUGCCUUGCAUUUACUUCGCAUUCUUCUGGUCUUACCCACGAUUCUUUAUACAAUAUUUCUACACAAUGCUUCAUAGCAAUUAUUCUAAUACACACACACACA
This is a long non-coding RNA of Octopus sinensis (East Asian common octopus), 146 nucleotides long. RefSeq lists it as uncharacterized. NCBI's taxonomy places the organism in Eukaryota, Metazoa, Mollusca, Cephalopoda, Octopoda, Octopodidae. The record is from RefSeq and is a predicted model, not a curated record. The transcript has 3 exons.